CCUACGGGAGGCAGCAGUGGGGAAUAUUGCACAAUGGGCGAAAGCCUGAUGCAGCGACGCCGCAUGAGGGAUGACGGCCUUCGGGUUGUAAACCUCUUUCAGCAGGGAAGAAGCGAAAGUGACGGUACCUGCAGAAGAAGCGCCGGCUAACUACGUGCCAGCAGCCGCGGUAAUACGUAGGGCGCAAGCGUUGUCCGGAAUUAUUGGGCGUAAAGAGCUCGCAGGCGGCUUGUUGCGUCGGUUGUGAAAGCCCGGGGCUUAACCCCGGGUCUGCAGUCGAUACGGGCAGGCUAGAGUGUGGUAGGGGAGAUCGGAAUUCCUGGUGUAGCGGUGAAAUGCGCAGAUAUCAGGAGGAACACCGGUGGCGAAGGCGGAUCUCUAGGCCAUUACUGACGCUGAGGAGCGAAAGCGUGGGGAGCGAACAGGAUUAGAUACCCUGGUAGUCCACGACCGUAACGUUAGGUAACGUAGGUAGUUGGUCGACAUCUACGUCGUCGGUGCCGCNGCUACGCAUAACGUUACCCGUCCGUCGGGAGGUACGGCCGCGACGGACGUAAACGUUAAACGGUAAAGUUAGUACGGUUCGUUGUAGACGUUGCCGAACGGACGACGACGAGGGAGGAGG
This 625-nucleotide ribosomal RNA is filed under the name uncultured bacterium. RNAcentral describes it as "bacterial SSU rRNA". The stretch from base 1 to 527 matches the Rfam family "Bacterial small subunit ribosomal RNA", at positions 338 to 873 of the family's 1533-position model. The record is from RNAcentral.